Molecule: long non-coding RNA, 224 nt
Filed under: Sus scrofa (pig)
Lineage: Eukaryota; Metazoa; Chordata; Mammalia; Artiodactyla; Suidae
Description: lncRNA (ENSSSCG00070023734.1)
Source: RNAcentral
UCUGAAUAAGUCUCAGCAGCAGCGAAGUUGCGGACCCUACCACAAAAUCGGGGGAGGAGUGGAUUCUAAACAAACAAAAAAAAAAAGAUGCAUUACCAGAAAAAGGAUUGCAGCGCAAUAAGGUAAGCUAAGACUAUUGACUUAUUUGAAAUUACAGGAAUCUCCAUCAGAAGGAGAAAUUGUGUUCGAAUCAGUUUGGUUCUUUUGACCUAAAUAAUGCUUUG